GUGUCAGCCGCCGCGGUAAUACGGGGGGGGCAAGCGUUGUUCGGAAUUACUGGGCGUAAAGGGCUAGUAGGCGGCCUUCUAAGUCGGACGUGAAAUCCCUCGGCUCAACCGGGGAACUGCGUCCGAUACUGGGGGGCUCGAAUCCGGGAGAGGGAUGCGGAAUUCCAGGUGUAGCGGUGAAAUGCGUAGAUAUCUGGAGGAACACCGGUGGCGAAGGCGGCAUCCUGGACCGGUAUUGACGCUGAAUAGCGAAAGCCAGGGGAGCAAACGGGAUUAGAUACCCGCGUAGUCC
This 292-nucleotide ribosomal RNA is filed under the name uncultured bacterium. Its description in RNAcentral is "partial 16S ribosomal RNA". It matches the Rfam family "Bacterial small subunit ribosomal RNA", at positions 505 to 796 of the family's 1533-position model. The record is from RNAcentral.